GACGAACGCUGGCGGCGUGCUUAACACAUGCAAGUCGAACGGGAUCCGGGCUUUCGGGUUUGGUGAGAGUGGCGAACGGGUGAGUAACACGUGAGUAACCUGCCCCCUUCUUUGGGAUAACGUCGGGAAAUCGGCGCUAAUACUGGAUAUUCUUGCUGCAUCGCAUGGUGUGGUUUGGAAAGGGUUUCUGGUGGGGGAUGGGCUCGCGGGCUAUCAGCUUGUUGGUGGGGUGAUGGCCUACCAAGGCUUUGACGGGUAGCCGGCCUGGGAGGGUGUCCGGCCGCACGGGGACUGAGACACGGCCCAGACGUCUACGGGAGGCAGCAGUGGGGAAUAUUGCACAAUGGGCGCAAGCCUGAUGCAGCGACGCCGCGUGAGGGAUGACGGCCUUCGGGUUGUAAACCUCUUUCAGUAUGGAACAAGGAUCCUUCUUUUGGGGGGUUUGAGGGUACGUGCAGAAGAAGCGCCGGCUAACUACGUG
This 481-nucleotide ribosomal RNA is filed under the name uncultured bacterium. RNAcentral describes it as "partial 16S ribosomal RNA". It matches the Rfam family "Bacterial small subunit ribosomal RNA", at positions 28 to 507 of the family's 1533-position model. The record is from RNAcentral.